ACUCAUUACAAAGUUAUUUCGUUUCCACUUGAGAGUUUCGUGGUGAGGUCGGAUGCAGGCUGCUGAAGUCUCAGUACUGCUCCUAGACGCAGGUGAAGGGACCCACAGGCUGUUUCCGUUGCUCUCCAGGGUUCUGCGGUUUAUACAAAGGUGCUCUGAACAUGCAGUUUUAACCUCUACUGAUUCAAGGACUCCGUCAUCAUCCCAUUUUCCAGGAACCGUGGGAAGGCUUAGAAUGGAUUGAAGCAUUCUUCCUCUUCCAGGACUUGGGAACCUUUUACAGUUAAGGGCACACAUUUUCCCUUUCUGAGAGAGGUGAGUGCUCAGGCAUAAAUCUUUUCAAGACUUCUUUGUAGAGGAAUGAUUGUUUUCACAUUAGAAUAAUAACAGUUCCAGGUCCAUUCUUCCACGUACUCUGUCCUGCUACAAACGUUGACCAACUGGCUAGCAACUGACAAAGCCUCUUAAUCUUCAUCAUCUGGGAGAAUUGCCCAAUGGGCAGCCCUAGAAGGGUUCAAGGACAAUUGGAGAAAGAAGAUACAGGCUAAAGACAGGAGAUGACACAAGCUGAUUUAUAUGGAGGAAUGCCAUAAUGUCAUCUUUUGGAAAGAGGGAGAGAGUGGUCUUUUGAAUCUGACCACAGAAGAAAAGACUGAAAAGAACAUGCCUGUACCUAUUUUCCAAGAUUUCUUUUGUCCUACAGUUCACUGGCUCCAAGCAAGGAAGAAGAGCAUGAAACAGAAGGAGAAGGGAAGGAAGAAAGGGAAGAAAGAGAGAUAGUGGUGGUGCUCAAUAUUGUAAAUCCCUUAGAGCAACAGAAUAAUUGACUUUGAGCUGUGGUAAAUAUAAAAUGUAAAUUUCCAUUAAGUCAUCUUGCAAACCUAGGAGGGCAUGCAUUUGGUAGUAUGCAUGUUUGUAUUUUGUAUGUUCCUGAAGUAAUAUGCAUCUUUUUGACUGUGUAUAUUUUGGCUAACAUAAAUCUUCCCUUUACCACAUAAGGAAAGAAUGAAAAUAAAGCAAGAAAAUAAAAAGAAACAAAGGGAGGUAAUUGGAUAAAAGGGUAGAAGAACAUUGACUCUGUAUGUAUACUUUGCUCGAUUCUAGUCCCAAGCCCAUCAACAGCUUUCACAUUAUUUAUAUCAUUACACUCUCUCUGUGCUACAGUUCCAACAAUAGGAAGUGAAAUAUGAAAUACUUGGUGAUUUCUAGUUGUAAAAUUAUUUUCUUUGGCAGUCAUUUGUGAUGACUGCAUUUGGAAAGCUCAGUUUAAUGUAUCACCAAAGAGUGGUGAAAAAUUAUGUGCUAGUCAUCUUACGUGGCCAUCACAGUUACUUUUAUUAUUAACCCUAUUAAAUGUAUGACAGUUCCAAUUUUAUUGAUUAGAAAACAAUGUUUGAGAAAAGCUAAAUAUGUUUUUCUUGGCAGUUGGCUCAAAGAUAAGGGAAAUGCACUGCUCUUUGAGAAGUCCCAGUAAUUUGUACAUUUCCCUAAGACAUUGAAGAAAAAUUCAUAUUAUAGAAAGCAAAAAGUAGUCUACUAAAGAUAAAAUUUAGUAAUAGUCAGAUUUUGUCUACCAGGGUUUUCAGACCUUCAUUUGGCUUACAAGUUCAGAAUUUUCCAAGAUACAUACAAGAUGAUAUUCUUACCAUGAGUCCAUUUUGGGAUUUGAGUCUAGGUCUUACUCGAAAUAUCAUGCUCGUUCUAUGAUAAGAACUGUUUUUGGGGCGACUGAGUGGCUCAGUCCGUUGAGCAUCCAACUUUGCUCAGGUCAUGAUCUCUCAGUUUAUGGGUUCACAGCCUGUGUUGGGCUCUGUGCUGACAGCUCAGAGCCUGGAACCUGAUUCAGAUUCUGUGUUUCCCUCUCUCUCUGCCCCUCCCCUGCUCCAGCUCUGUCUCUGUCUUUAAUCCUUAAAAAAAAGUUACAAACAUUAAAAAAGAUACUUAUAAGAACUGUUUUCAAUCUAUGUCAAACAUUCCACUAAUAACUGAUUCUAUUCCAUUUUUAAUAGUUUAACCAUUUGUAUAACUGAAAUAAAUACAUAACACUGGCUUAUCAAAUGUUAACACCAGCAAUGAGUCAAAUUAUUUUUGUGCCAAACUUAGUAUAAAUUUUCCUGCCAUCUUGGUAUACACACACACACACACA
Long non-coding RNA from Felis catus (domestic cat), 2146 nucleotides. RefSeq lists it as uncharacterized. Lineage: Eukaryota; Metazoa; Chordata; Mammalia; Carnivora; Felidae. The record is from RefSeq and is a predicted model, not a curated record. The transcript has 10 exons.